CCUUUUCAAACAACAAGGGCCGGGAAGGGAGAGGGGAGGGGAGGGGACGGCGGCCUCCCAGAGGGAUCCUGGGAGCUGUAGGCGGCGGGGACUGCGGCGGCGCGGCCGGCGGGGACGGCGCGGGGAGGGGACGGGCCCGCCGUUUGCCCGGCGGAAGAGAAAAAGGGGGUGAGGGACGGACCCCGACCCGCCGCUCCGAACCCCCCCGGCCGCGGGGCGGGGAGGGAGAGUGGGCUGGUUUCUCUUCGGUUCCGAUGAACGGGGCUGCGAAGCGGGUGGCGAUUUGAAUAACAGAUUACUUAACUGCAGGCUUCUGGCAUGGGACUGGUGUGGUGGUGGUUAGUACCGGUGCUCUUCCACUGCAGAGAAAUAGUCCCCCUAGUGUGCCGUUGUUGAAGGGAGCACUGCGAUGCUGCGAUUCCUCAAGGGCCAGUCCUGGAGGAAAAAGGAUUUUCUUUGCCUUGCCAGUGUAUCAGCGAUGGCCUAAAAAGCUGCAGAGCUCUCAUUGUGCCCACUAGGAUCAAUCUCGCGCUUUUGCUUUGCAAACAGCCAGUGUUCGUGAGGAAUUGCCACCUUAUUUUUCAAACAAGGUUCCCUUGCUUCAGACCCUCUUUUUGUUUUUUUUUUUUACUAGCAGCGAGAAAUCAACGGCCCUCAGCCGUUUUGCAGCCGGUUGGAUUACUGAGGGCUUUUUUUCCCCAUUUUUAAAAAGGAGCUUGCAAUUGGCAGCUGCCAGCGGCCAAGAAGAUGAUGUGCCCAGCAGAGCAGCUAGAGAAGGGAGCUCAGAAGGGAUCCAUCCUCACUGCCUACAACACCGAAACCACUUCAGACCCAGCUACCGCACUGUUGCACGUGUUGCCGUUUUAGCAAUCCCGCAUAGCCAUUGCCAUUCAAAACAGUACCCCUUUUGUGAUCGCAUACCGCAACCAACCAGGCAGUACACAAAACGCUGAAUAAAAUGCACUUCGCCCAGCAAGGUGACGCCAUGCCCUGCUAUGUGACGACUACAAGCACGAUCAUGGUGCUUGUGCCACCUUCCAGCUCGCUGCGCUGGAGAUUGGGCUCCUCCGGCAGUGGUUUUGUCUCAGUUACCACCUCCCCUUCCACGAGCACGUGCAAGACGCCUUGAUUCCUCCAUUGACUUUGUGUUCUUCCGCGAGUGUGUUCCAAAGUGUUUUAAAUGGGUUCUCCAAAAUUUUGGAGGAGACUAUUUAUGUAUCUCGCCAGAUAAAGGAGGUCAUGUGGAAAUCCAUUUGCCUCCGGUUUGCCUGCCAAGCCGCCUUGACAAAGGAAACAGGAGCUGAUAGAAGAGGAGAUUAAAUUCAAAUGGGUUUGUUUUUAAAAAUAUAAGUGACACUAAUUUCUCAUGCAAAUAGCUUAGAAAUUCUGGACACGCAUAAUAAGACAGUGCUUACUACAGCUCCCAACUUUUUAUUAUAUUUUGAAAACCUAUGCAUUCCCCUGUACUUUCACAUUGCAGUCACAGUCAGCUGUGGCUCCUGAUAGUGAUCCCUAAACUCUUCUAUGUCCUUUGCUUACAUUUGAAGACAAACGUUGUGCUUCAUUAUGACACAAGAGACUUAACACUCUAAUAAAAAACCUAAUAAAAAUUAAUUUAACAAAAAAUUUUGCAUAUCAAACUAUAUCCCAAUCCAUCUUUAAGUAUUUACGCAACAAUGAAUCAGUGCAAAGAGACAGAUUCUUUUAAGCUUGAAAAAGCUGCAUUUAGACAUUUGUUUUCAUCUCAGAUAUUUCCCUUUUGAUUUCAAAAUUAUUCCCAGGUAAAUCUAAUCUACAGAGUUAUUUUGGUCAGUUCGUGGAUGAUGUUAUCUACUGUUUCUUUCAGAUUGUAGUUAUUUAGAUUAUUUGGCAAAGAGAUUGAGGAAAGUAAUACAAACCAGGCAUAAUUAAAUGAGAUGACUGUAUGUCCACACACUUUAGGGUUGUUUACUGGUUGUUAAGCUACCUCUUGCCUCUUUUCCAUUAUUCCUUUUAAUAUUGAUGUAGGCAAAUAAAGGCAAGGGUAUACUGCAGAACUCGUACAAAAAAGGACCAGUUUUCAGUUCUGCGUUGGUGUAAUACAUUGAGAGUUCCUUUGUGAUUUUUGUAGAAAACUCUCUGUCCCACUUCUGGAGUGGAAAUUCACUAGUAAAUGUUUGUCCUCUGUUUUUUUGCCAGGGGAUCAGUUGACUACCUUACUUAAUGCAAGGGAAUUUCCCUUUUCUUUCUAGACUAGGCAAGGAAGAAGGAGCAGGCUGGCUGGUUGGCCAGCCAUGCAGAAACUUCCUCAGGUCUCUGCUGUUCAAAAAUUAACCAGCAAGAUUUUCCCUCCAUAGGGACAAUACCUUUGCACCUAUCCUCAUGUACUGAAAAUGCGUGGACUUUUUCUAUCAUAGGAAGCAUUUUACAAGUUCAGCACAAUGGAAACUUAACAGUUCAGACAUGUUUGGUUUGGUCUUGUCAUAGAAAUAAGAAUUACUGUAGAGAUGACCAUGUUUUCAGGAGAAAAACUAACGCGUGGUCAUAUAAGAGACCAAGACUCCAAUGCUAUGCAUAGUCAAGAAAGCAUCACCCAAGCUGUUUGGCUGAGCAUGGUUUGUCCUUAAAAAACACAAGGUGGAAGAUGUCUUGAACACCUCCCAAAAGAUAAAUUUAUUGCAGCGUAGAAUACCGGUGAGCAAGUAAAGGCUAAGAGGCAGCAAAUAUGAGGACAUUGCAGGCUGGUGGUUUCUGUUACAGCAUAAAAAAGCAAGCUCCAGUCAGAGAAUAUUUUGGUUAGAGAGCCUUUUCACACAACAAUUUCAAUAAUUCAGCUUACAAUGCAAGUAUAAUAAUAAGUUAUGUCAACUAGAUAUUCUGCUUUUUCUUACCUACCUUUGUUCUAAUCUCCACACUUAAGCCCUUGCAACUGGUAUUUUGAAAACAAAGUAGGGAAAUCAAAAGAUUACCUAGAAGUAUCUGAAGAAAGAAGGAAACAUGUCUGAAUGCCAGGCAGGGUUAAGAUGUGUUUAGCUGAAGCUCCUGUCUCCCCCUAACAGAUUAAUCCAAGAACUACGCUG
Harpia harpyja (harpy eagle) is the source of this 3059-nucleotide long non-coding RNA. RefSeq lists it as uncharacterized. The transcript is spliced from 3 exons. The record is from RefSeq and is a predicted model, not a curated record. Lineage: Eukaryota; Metazoa; Chordata; Aves; Accipitriformes; Accipitridae.